GAGGCUGUGGCUCAGUGGUUGAGGGCCUGCCUAGCAUGUAUGAGACACUGAGUUCGAUUCUCAGCACUACA
This 71-nucleotide transfer RNA is filed under the name Marmota monax (woodchuck). RNAcentral describes it as "tRNA.Ala". Lineage: Eukaryota; Metazoa; Chordata; Mammalia; Rodentia; Sciuridae. The record is from RNAcentral.